CCUGCUCGAUGGGACAUUGGACAGGAAAGACAGAGAAGCUGGAGCCGCGCUCGUUACUCUACUGCUCUGCGCGUGCACGUCACCACGCCCACACGACCGGCUCGACCAAUCAGAGGGAGGGACGUCUGCGUCGUGCCCACGCUUCGCCUACAUAGACAGGAGAGACAAAGAACAACAUAAGACGACUUGCAGCCAUCGUCUGGAGGACACUGAACUACACAUCUGUAGCAUGGACAGGCAGAGAUCUGAACAAUCUUCUGAAUGAAGAGACUUCUCUGCACAGAUCCUGAUGAGCUGACGAGGAGCCAACACACAUCAAACAUAACCCACAAAAUAAAUAUGGAAUUCACGGAAGUUCUCAGCAUUCACGACGGAUCUUCCAAAGUUUUCAUUUGUACUUUUUUGGACCAAAUAUUAAUGUUGUAGUUGUAAACACUAAAUCAGAUCUACUUUGGUGAA
Molecule: long non-coding RNA, 459 nt
Organism: Notolabrus celidotus (New Zealand spotty)
Lineage: Eukaryota; Metazoa; Chordata; Actinopteri; Labriformes; Labridae
Exons: 3
Source: RefSeq, a predicted model, not a curated record